CGGGACGUAGCUCAGCUUGGUAGAGCACCUGGUUUGGGACUAGGGGGUCGCAGGUUCGAAUCCUGUCGUCCCGA
RNAcentral lists this transfer RNA (74 nucleotides) under Weissella coleopterorum. Its description in RNAcentral is "Weissella sp. HDW19 tRNA-Pro". It matches the Rfam family "tRNA". From Rfam's summary of the family: Transfer RNA (tRNA) molecules are approximately 80 nucleotides in length. Their secondary structure includes four short double-helical elements and three loops (D, anti-codon, and T loops). The record is from RNAcentral. Lineage: Bacteria; Bacillati; Bacillota; Bacilli; Lactobacillales; Lactobacillaceae.